This 122-nucleotide ribosomal RNA is filed under the name Actinomycetota bacterium. Its description in RNAcentral is "partial 16S ribosomal RNA". It matches the Rfam family "Bacterial small subunit ribosomal RNA", at positions 1 to 114 of the family's 1533-position model. The record is from RNAcentral. Lineage: Bacteria; Bacillati; Actinomycetota.
UCUACGGAGAGUUUGAUCCUGGCUCAGGACGAACGCUGGCGGCGUGCCUAAUACAUGCAAGUCGAGCGACGAACCCAGAAGGGGUAACCCUUCUGGGGGAAAGCGGCGAACGGGUGAGUAAC